CCCCCCCCCGUCCCACUGCUAGUUGGUAUCUUUAAUAAAAAAAGACACCCACUUCCACAUGAUAACAAAGAUAGCAUUCAACUAAACUAAUUCUCUCGGCCGUAGCUUCACCCUAAGGUAAUAAUCUUUGCUAUUUUUCCCAAUAAAAUAGCACCACCAUGACAUCCUUGUAUUCUCUUUAUUGCUAAUUGUGGAAGUUUACCUGCUCCUUUUUAACUUGCUAUCUUCCUCUUUCUAAAUAUUUAUAUUUGCAUUUGUUUACAUUGUUUAUUAAUCUUAUGUCCCAUUGGCUUUUGGACAUUCCUACUUCUUAGCUUUUAAGCUGAAUACAAUUCUGUAGCUGCAUUGGUAACAUUGUUUAGAACAAUGUUUUAGUCCAUUGGAUAGAAUCAUCCUGUGUGUUAUUUUACCAGAGGCCUAUCUUGCUACAGAUAUAAUAAGCUUGAAUGUUUUAGAAGGCAUUAUUUAUCCAAUGGUAAUGCAGAAAUAAUUUUUAAUACAGAAAUAAUUUUUUGGAGCUUCCUUCACUUAAACAAUUAAUUUUAUCCCAUACUUUUCCUUUUUUAUAUAUAUAUAAUUUCUUACGGGCUCUAAUGCUCCUGUUGUUCCAACACCAUUUUGCUCAUAGUUGACUAUGCUUUUCUUUCCAUAUCUGCUCUCAAUGAGUGACCAUUAAAUGCACACCAUUCUAGUUGAUGGUUUGAAAACCAUUCAUUUCAUGCAGCUUGACUUCUCUGGUUGUUGCAUAACACUUUCAAAAUGUUUAUACUCCCUUGCAUUCUUUUAAAACAUUCUAAUUUAUUUCAGUAGUUGACACAGUGCUGUGUUCAUCAAGAUUUUAAAAAUCUUUAAUGAAACAAUCUAUUGAAAACGUUGCUAUUGCAAUGCACAGGUCAUAUUGAAUUCAUUGGUCAGAGAUGAGUUGUUUGUCUGAAAAUCUAACACUUAUUUUAAUAAUAUAUUCCUCAAUGUAUAACAUUUAAAUGCAAUAUACAAAUCUUCCUAAUAUAAUCAGAGAAAAGUUGCGCAUGUUCAUUAGGUUUGUAAACCUUUUGUGGAGGAAUGAAAAAAAACCCAGGCACAUGUCAAUAUGUAAUAUACAACUUUCUAAGAGAAAAGUUUCAUGUUGACAUGCAACAUUUUAAUGGAUUUACAAAUACUGCUAAUAUUUUAACAGCAGUGUCGAUCUACUGUUUUUCAGACUUGCAAUCUACAUCAUCCUGACUCAUCAUGCAAAGCUGCUGAGGAAUAGAUCUGAUUUAUGAACAUUCUAAUUCCACUAUUCUUAAAUGUUGAAUCUUCUGACCUUUAGUCCAUCUGGUUUAUGAGCACUUAAUUCCAACAUUCUCAAAUGUUAAAUCUUCUGACCUUUAGUCCAUCUGGUUUAUGAACAUUUAAUUCCACUAUUCUUAAAUGUUUAAUCUUCUGACCUUUAGUCCAUCUGGUUUAUGAGCACUUAAUUCCAACAAUCUCAAAUGUUUAAUCUUCUGACCUUUAGUCCAUCUGGUUUAUGAACAUUUAAUUCCACCAUUCUCAAAUGUUUAAUCUUCUGACCUUUAGUCCAUCUGGUUUAUGAACAUUUAAUUCCACCAUUCUCAAAUGUUUAAUCUUCUGACCUUUAGUCCAUCUGGUUUAUGAACAUUUAAUUCCACCAUUCUCAAAUGUUUAUAAUCUUCUGACCUUUAGUCCAUCUGGUUUAUGAACAUUUAAUUCCACCAUUCUCAAAUGUUUAUAAUCCUCUGACCUUUAGUCCAUCUUUAGAACUUCUUUCACAUCUGUCUGCAAUAUUUCAAUUACAUAAUCAAUUUCCUGGACAUUAUAGAGCCAAUCCCCAUAUUAUAUUAGCUUUACCCUUUUUCUUUUUUAUAAUAUUUAAUAGCAAUUCAUUUCAUUCUCACGAGAAGCUUUUAAGAGUUUUUAGCUCAAUGAGAUGUUUCUGGUGACUAUACUAGAACUUAGCCUUACAUAGAAUAAGGUAUUCAAUAAUCUUGUGUGCCUAGGUCUAGCAAGGUCAACAUGAUUAGGGUUUGUCUUUCUCUAUUCUUGAAACAUGAUGGAAUAUGUUGUCCGUGGUGUCGUAUUCACCUGUUUCUAGUAUCUCUUCCCUUGCAUAGUGGUUUCCUUCACUAUCGAUUUGAACAUCAUAUAGAGGUCAUGCAUCAUGAUAUUGAAUCUCUCUGCCUGACCAUUCCCUCUGGGGUUAUAUGGCGUUGUACAUGAUUUUUCAACCACCCUAAAAUCUAAAGCCACCACUUAGAGUGGAAGUGUAGCUAGCAAAUGUCCCGGAGGCUGGUGUACUUUAACUGCCAGUAGUUUCGCAUGUUGACACUAGUCUCAUACUUCAUACAGCGUUGACGGACAUCAUGCUCCAUGUUCGGCCAUUAACAGCCACUUUGCAGACAACAUCCCAGCCCCGACUGUUGGGCUCGUGGCCCAAUCCUAAGGCUUGGCGUCAGUACUUUUCUGCCAGAACCACUUGCAUUACUGGGUUCAAUUGUAGACCGAUACAGCACGCCAUCCUUCAGGAUAAGCCUCUUCUGCUAUUGCAUAAACGUUUGGCAAGGGUAGGUCGGUUAUUGUUGUUGAUGUAGACUCAGGUCUUCUCAGGGUUCAUCUUAAACUGCCAUAUCCGGUCUAAAUCCUCUUGAAGUCCAUGCUGAAUUUCCAUAAGAGACGGUGCAAUCCGAUGGACCUCCAAGUCGUCAGCACAAUCAGAGAGAGUACAAGGCCAAUAACGGUCUUCAAAACCUGAGCUGCCUGCAUCUUGUGGCGAGAUACUGUAGGAAAGGAGUAGAUUGACGCAAUAGGUCAUUAUGUACAAACAUUCCACCUCUUUCAUCUUUCAUUCACUAAUUUGCUCACUGAUUGAAAGGGUAUCAAAAAUAUCAUUUGGCUUCCUGUAGAAUUUGUCUUGGUCCAACAUGUAUGUGUAGUCCGAUUUCACUCAAACUGUUCUUUACAACUAUAACCAUCUAGUUUUUAAAAUGGAAUUUUUUUUAAAAAUGGAAUUUCUUCUUGACUUUUGUGUCCUUACUGUAUGCAGUUGUAUAAUUCAGAGAAUCAGGUUAUCUGAACUUUUUCUGAUCUCUUUUGCUGUUUGAUGCCUUUUGUAGUUUUUUCACAUGUACAAUUUUUUUUUAAUAAAAUGGGUUUUAAAAUGACUCAUAAAAAUUAAAUAAUUUAAAACAAUUGAUUUUAUAAAAUCAUUUAGUUCAAUCAACACUUUAAAAUCAGAAGAUGCAUAAAUUAUUAAUUAUGCACUCGUUGCACCAGAACAAAGUAGUUGGACUUGUAUUUAAUUAUAAUAAUCAUGUGUUAUUUUAAAAGCCAAAACAUAUCAGUGGUACACAGGUAUGGAACACUUGUUGGAGUAAUAAAGUUUAUUAAAACAUUGACUUAGCUAAACUCUUGAAAACACCGCAUCCGGAUAAAUCCAAAGAAAAGACUGAAUCAACAAAUGUAUUAAUUGGUUCUUCGAACCCGUAUACGUUAGCAGCUAUCAAACAAGACAAAAGCAUGUGCUUUGCUAUACUUGUUGUAACACUACCUAACUCGGAUAACUCUGACUGAUCGAAAAAGCAUUCAAAAUCAUACGUUGCGCUGAAGGGAUAAACAAAGUUUGUAUUUACAUCUACCCUAUACGAUGUUAAAAACUCCCUGAUUGUUUUCUGUGUAUGAUAAAUCCCUCUUUUAUACCUUUCUACGGGUUUGCCCCCAUUGCACCCUGACUCAUGUCUGUUCAGCUGCCUAAUGGUGGGCCAUAACUUGCUACACAUAAAACUCGCGAAAGAGUGCGCUAUGGUAUAGUGUCUUGUUAAAUUGUCAAGUCGUGUAAAUACUUUCACACUUUACACAGGGAUGUCUUUGUUGUCCGUGUGCCGUAUCUUAAUGGCGUAUGAAAGCGUCUUUGCGGGUGAAUACAUGGUCACAGAUCUCGCACUUGUAACGGGUCAAAGCUGGAUGGGUGGCUUCUAUUAUUGACGAACUGUCUAAUGGUUGGCUCGGCUGGAUGAGUGGGUCGCUGGCUGUGGAAUAAAAAAUAAAUAAAUAAAAAAUAAAAAUAAUUAAGUAAAUACAUUUGACAACUUUAAAACAAAAAUAUAUUAAUUUAAAUAUUUUAAAUUCACAUAUUGAACUUACCUCAGGGUUGGUUUGAACGUCUAAGCCGGGUUGAGUUAGAUCCGUAGUGGUGUAGCUGUAGGCGGUUGGAUCGGUUAGGUGGAUAGCUCAAUGGGUUGUUUAGUGGUUGGGGCAGCUGGUUGGCUGUAUAGUUGGGUCCGAUGUAAACUUAAAAGUAAAGCGCAAGCAUUUGACUACUUAUUUAGAAAAAGAUUUUAAAAAAGGGUAUAAGCCUAUUCUAGUAGUGGUCUAGAGUUUGGGUCGGUUGUACAAUACAAAAUUAAAGUGAAUACAUUUUUUAUAAAAAAAUAUUUAUUUAUUUAAAGGGUAUAAUCAGAAACUUUUUAGUGGGGUUAGUUCCUUUAAAACAAAAAUAAAUAAAUUAACCUUAACUUUAAUUUUUAUUCCUUAAGUUCAGUAAACACUCACAAAGUAUGCGGUCUGUGGUUGUUUAGGUGGAUGUGUUGGUGGUCUGCAGUCCUAAGCCGAAGUGGUUUAGAACAAAUUCUCGUGUUAAUUUAUACUUUUGGCUGGCUUAGGUGUAGAGUCAGACUGUCUCCUGCAAAACAGAUGGUAUCCAGAUAAAAAGUAAUGACUUGACCACAGUGUAGAAGAAAAGCAAUUACUUUUACAGGGGUUGGGUGAAGACUAAGAAAUCCCAGGGCUCACCUCACCUUCCUGGAAGACAAAGAAAUUCCAGGGCGAUAAAUCACCUCACAUUGGCAUAACAGAGCAGAGCCUCACUUGCCAGAGCAGCAGGGGAGCCAGCACUUGUGGCAAUUAAUCAUGGUCGGGUGUCAAACCGACUGGGAAAACACCCAUUCAUCACCGUCCGGUUAUUACCUGUCAUUCCAUCAACCACCAGCAUAACUGUGCUUAGUUUUUUGCUGUAUUGAUUUAUUUGUAACAGCUGAAGUUAAUGGGUUUGACCCCAGUUAUAAUGGAAUUGUAUACACAAAGAAAUCCUAUUUUUUGUACAUGAUUGUAAGAAAAAAAAAACUGUAGUUAAGGUUAAAAAUCUAAAACAGUACUACCUUAUUGUUAUUGUUAAAAUUAAUCACCAAAUAACAAACAAACAAAUAAUUCAUCUUGAUUAAUCAGUUUAAUUGACUUUUUUUCCAUCCAAUUUUUGCUUUAUUCUCUUUGAAUUUGCUGAAAUUUGAAAUUGAUCAUAUUGACAUUGUCUUAUGUAGCUACUUAUAAAGUACUUGCCACUGCUUAUCUUUGAAAUUCUGUGCAACAUUGGAAAAAAAAUGUCAAUCAAUUUGAUGUCCCAUCACAAAAGUUUUUUGACAAUGUGAUAUAUUGUGAAGAUGUGUCAACUGCCAUCUUCCCAUUGAAACUCAACUAUUAAACCUCAACUGAACCUUACUGGUCAUUGGUUUAGACAUUCUAUUGGUUCCUACCUGCUCCAACUACUUGACCAAUGGCUAGCUAUUGGUCUGUAAUCCUGUGCUAAUCUAAAUCUCUCAGUAUUGACCUAUUUCUAAACUACUGCCUAAUCUUGUGUUACUACAACUGUCUGGAAUCUCUCUUCUUCUCUCCCCCUCCCUUCCAUUACCAGGUGAUGUAAAGGUGUGGCUGUCUUCUUAUCCAGUUCAGUUUUGUGAUGAGGAUAACCUGCUUACAAGGAAGACAUGGAGAAGAACGGUUGAAGAAGAGGCUAAAGCAGCUGGGCACACAUGGGCACAGAUAAAGGGGGCAGCCCAAAACCGAGUCCGAUGGAGAAUGUGUGGUUGCAGCCCUUUGCUCCCCAGCGGCCACAAAGGAAUGAUGAUGAUGAACUUACAACUUACAACUGUUACCUCUACUUAAAUAUUAACAGCGGCCACACUUCAUACUUUGCUGAUGGACACCAUGUUCUGCCACAUACUAAGAAGUACGGUCCAUAGAAUCUACAAUUAAAAAGCAGCCAAGAUCAGUAUGGCUCUGGUGAAUCCAAAAUGGUGCACUCAAAAUUACAAGGUUCUAACAGUAAUGCAUUAAUUGGGACUACCAUCAUUAUAUUUUAAUCAGGUCACCAGCAAACAUUUAAAGGCUCACAGUGACAAACAGGUUUUGGAAGCUAUGUGUGUUAAAGUGACUUGUUUUAUUUACUUGAAUAAAGCUCAUUUCAAAGAACAGC
Long non-coding RNA from Physella acuta, 6244 nucleotides. RefSeq lists it as uncharacterized. The record is from RefSeq and is a predicted model, not a curated record. Lineage: Eukaryota; Metazoa; Mollusca; Gastropoda; Physidae.